Callithrix jacchus (white-tufted-ear marmoset) is the source of this 896-nucleotide non-coding RNA. NCBI's taxonomy places the organism in Eukaryota, Metazoa, Chordata, Mammalia, Primates, Cebidae. The record is from RefSeq and is a predicted model, not a curated record.
CCCGCUGGCGUUAGUCCAAACUCUGGCCCAGGUCCCUGUGACAACUUGCCUCCCCUGGUGGUAGCCGCUCCUCAGAUUUGCAUCGGCUAUGCUCAGCGCCCCACUGUCUGGCAGGGCUCUCGUGGACCAUGGGUUGCAGGAGGGAUGAGGAAAGCACAGAAUCCUAUUCAGAGCACCAAAACGGUUAAGUCCCCCAACAGUCCGAGCCAGCUGCACGUUUCAGGGACAUGGAUGGAUCUGGAGAACAUCAUCCUCAGCAAACUGACACAAGAACAGAAAAUGAAACGCUGCAUAUUCUCACUCAUAGAGUGAAGAUUCAGAAAAGGAUCUGAUGAGCCUGGCCAAAUGCAGUGUGAACUGGCUAGCUGGUGUUCUGCAUAGGCAUGGGGUGGGACUGGAACUGCUGCAACUGUCUUGCUGCCAGCCUGAGGAUGAAUAUCAUACAGAGUAGAGCAUCCCAGGGGACACUCAGUGACAUGGAGACAGAGCCACUGGAUUGUCUUCCAACCAGCCACCAUUUUGUGAGCGCUCCUAUGAAGAAACCCAUGUGGCAAGAAACUGAGAGCAGCUUCUGGAUAAUAACCAAUGAGGAAGUGAGGCACUUGGUCCAUUUGUUUAUGAGGAACUGAAUCCUGCCAGCAACUACAGCCUCAGACAAUACCUCGAUUGCAGCCUUGAAAGAAUCCCAGAGAAAGAAUGGACCCAACUAGGCCAUGUUGAAUUUCUGACCCACAGAAACUGUGGAAUAACAAAUAUUGUUUUAAGCCACUAAAUUUGAUGGUAAUUUAUUAUGCUACAACAGAUAACUAAAUCAAGAAUGCUUAACUAUAUAUCUUAUACAGUAGGAAAGUAGAUAAAGUGUGGUAUAUCUAUAUACAAUAUAAACUAGCAUAAGA